RNAcentral lists this ribosomal RNA (253 nucleotides) under uncultured bacterium. RNAcentral describes it as "partial 16S ribosomal RNA". It matches the Rfam family "Bacterial small subunit ribosomal RNA", at positions 524 to 776 of the family's 1533-position model. The record is from RNAcentral.
UACGUAGGGUGCGAGCGUUAAUCGGAAUUACUGGGCGUAAAGCGUGCGCAGGCGGUUAUGUAAGACAGAUGUGAAAUCCCCGGGCUCAACCUGGGAACUGCAUUUGUGACUGCAUAGCUAGAGUACGGUAGAGGGGGAUGGAAUUCCGCGUGUAGCAGUGAAAUGCGUAGAUAUGCGGAGGAACACCGAUGGCGAAGGCAAUCCCCUGGACCUGUACUGACGCUCAUGCACGAAAGUGUGGGGAGCAAACAGG